Molecule: long non-coding RNA, 1556 nt
Organism: Equus caballus (horse)
Lineage: Eukaryota; Metazoa; Chordata; Mammalia; Perissodactyla; Equidae
Source: Ensembl
AGAAAAUGAAGCUGUUUCCCUUUGUCUUCCCACUCAACUAAAAUUUCAUAGUUGGCUUUGUUUCCAAAAGGAUUUUGGACAAUGUAAUAUAAGCAAAUAAUUUAAAACUUAUUUUGAUUCUAUUUAUACCUCAUAGUAGUUAGAUAUAACUGAUUGUGGACAACUUAAGAUUUCUUUUUCUCACUUUAAAGAUCUUAUGUUUCUACUAGCCUUCCUUAUCUGUGUGAACAUCAUCACAUUUGGGUCAAAAGACAGGUUAUUGCAGAUGUGCUGAGGAAAGUUAGGGCCCUAAACAUACUGGAUGUAUAUUUAUCUAUUCUUCUGUUUAAUUUCACUGAAUUUUUUAAUAAAGGAGAAAUGAAACAAUAUGUGUUAGAAAAAUCCUUCUUCCUCCAGAUUUCCCAACUUUAUUUUGGGGGGAAAAAGUCUGCAUUUCUCUUUAACCAAUACAGAAAAAGGCUAUGUACUUAAGACCUUCACAUUCAUAGAGGACAUCAGAUACGAUUUAAGUCUGGAGGCAUAAGAGAGGUCAAUUCCUUAAGCAUAAAGAUGUUCUUAAAUGUUUGGCCUUUUAUCUGUUUCUCAUUCCAAUGUGUUCGUAAUUCUCACAUUUUACAAACUAAUCUUGUUGUGUAUAUUAUAAAAUAGAAUAGACACCAAUUUUUUUUUUCCUUUGCCAUAAAAGACGUCUUUAUACUGUAUCGUGAUUCCUCUCCAGGUGAGAGGAAACUCUGACAAGGUGCGGCAUUAGGCCUAGCUCCAUGUAUUAGGAACUCACAGACUCAGAAGUCCAAGGUAUAAACAUACCAUGUCUCCCUCACGUGAGCAAGUCAACCUCUCAUUCUGAAUUUAGGUAAACCUGCAAGCAUGAGAAAAAUAGAACUUUCUAUUGCACUUUUUAUAGUCAGGUAGUGUUUUAGCAACUUGAAGUCAGCCAGCACUUAAUUUGAUUGUAUGAGCCAUCAAAGAACCAAUAAUCUUUUAUUUUUCUGCGGAAAAGAAAAUGAAUUAUUCUUUAUUUUACAAAUGUAUAAAGCACAAAUGUGAUAGUUAUUUAGAAUACAAAAUACUAUAAAAUGAAUGUAAAGAAUGGGAAAAUAUAUUUUUGCAUGAAAACAGACUACUUACAAACUUGCUUAAUAUCUCAGGAACAGAAAGAAUGAAUAAUCAUACAUAAAACUGAUAACUAUAUGUUGAGCUAAGUUGCUAUAUCUUCUUGCCUGUUUUUAUUUUAAGGAAGCAUAUACAUGAAAAGAAAAAAAAGAUCCCGGUAGCCUGAAUUUUCUCUCAAGUACGCUGCACAGUCCUGUCUGUGAAUCUACAAUUAAGUACAGUAAGAAUGGGAAUUAGCAUUCAAGUGAGGACAAAGCCCUAAGUGAGAAACUCUCAGUUAGCACACUGGAAUGGUUAUAACCCAGAGGCAAUAGACAAAAACCUGGAAUACAAGCAUUUCUAAACGUAGUCCCAAACUGAAAAGAUUUUUGUGAGGUGACAAACAUUCAUGAGACUGGUUAUUUUAAUUUUCCUUGUUAAGUCAUUGCAAGAAUUGCAUGGGG